AUGCCCGCUCCGCCUCCAUUUCAUCCUCCCUCCCUCUCUCAUCGUCCUCCUCCGCGUUCUCUCGUCUCCAUCUGCCUCUCUUUGACUUGUGCGCCACUGAGAACUCUUCUUGGAGAACCUCUGAAUCUCGAGAGGCAUUGGGUCCGUCCUGAGUUGUUGUUAGUGUUGCCUUGGUCUUUCGUUUCUGGCUUUCGUGCCGAUCCACUCCGGUGCUGUUCGGCGGCGGUCACGAUGGCCGGCGGCCCGGUUGUGAACACCGGAGGGGGGAAGGACUACCCCGGCAAGCUCACCAUGUUCGUGCUCUUCGCCUGCAUCGUCGCCGCCACCGGCGGCCUCAUCUUCGGAUACGACAUAGGCAUCUCCGGUGGCGUGACCUCCAUGAACCCCUUCCUGAUGAAGUUCUUCCCGGGCGUGUACCACAAGGAGCAGGAGGCGGAGCGGAACCAGAGCAACCAGUACUGCAAGUUCGACAGCCAGCUGCUCACCAUGUUCACCUCCUCGCUCUACCUCGCCGCGCUCGUCGCCUCCUUCUUCGCCGCCACCGUCACCCGCGUCGCCGGCCGCAAGUGGUCCAUGUUCGCCGGCGGGGUCACCUUCCUCGUCGGCGCCGCGCUCAACGGCGCCGCCAAGAACGUCCUCAUGCUCAUCCUCGGGCGCGUCCUGCUCGGCAUCGGGGUCGGCUUCGCCAACCAGUCGGUGCCGGUGUACUUGUCGGAGAUGGCGCCGGCGAGGCUGCGGGGGAUGCUCAACAUCGGGUUCCAGCUGAUGGUCACGAUCGGCAUCCUGUGCGCGAACCUGAUCAACUACGGGACGGCCAAGAUCAAGGGCGGGUGGGGCUGGCGCGUGAGCCUCGCGCUGGCCGCGGUGCCGGCCGGAAUCAUCGCCAUCGGCGCGCUCUUCCUCCCCGACACCCCCAACUCCCUCAUCGACCGCGGCUACACCGAGGACGCCAAGAAGAUGCUCCGGCGCGUGCGCGGCACGGACGACAUCGAGGAGGAGUACAGCGACCUGGUGGCCGCCAGCGAGGAGUCCAAGCUCGUGAGCCACCCGUGGCGCAACAUCCUCCAGCGCCGCUACCGGCCGCAGCUCACGUUCGCGAUCGCCAUCCCCUUCUUCCAGCAGCUCACCGGCAUCAACGUCAUCAUGUUCUACGCGCCCGUGCUCUUCAAGACGCUGGGGUUCGCCGACGACGCGUCCCUCAUGUCCGCCGUCAUCACCGGCCUCGUCAACGUCUUCGCCACCUUCGUGUCCAUCGUGACCGUGGACCGGCUGGGCCGGCGCAAGCUGUUCCUGCAGGGCGGCACCCAGAUGCUGGCCUGCCAGAUCGUGGUGGGCAGCCUGAUCGGCGCCAAGUUCGGGUUCACCGGCGUGGCCGACAUCCCCAAGGGGUACGCGGCGUUCGUGGUGCUCUUCAUCUGCGCGUACGUGGCCGGGUUCGCGUGGUCCUGGGGCCCGCUGGGGUGGCUCGUCCCCAGCGAGAUCUUCCCGCUGGAGAUCAGGUCGGCGGGGCAGAGCAUCACGGUGUCGAUGAACAUGCUGUGCACCUUCAUCAUCGCGCAGGCGUUCCUCCCCAUGCUCUGCCGCUUCAAGUUCAUGCUCUUCUUUUUCUUCGGCGCGUGGGUGGUCGUCAUGACCCUCUUCGUCGCCUUCUUCCUGCCAGAGACCAAGAACGUGCCCAUCGAGGAGAUGGUGCUCGUGUGGAAGGCGCACUGGUACUGGGGCCGCUUCAUCCGCGACGAGGACGUGCACGUCGGCGGCGCCGACGUCGAGAUGCGCUCCAACGGCAAGGUCCAGGCUGCCAAGCUCCCGUGA
This 1812-nucleotide ribosomal RNA is filed under the name Triticum aestivum (bread wheat). RNAcentral's name for it is "partial small subunit ribosomal RNA". Lineage: Eukaryota; Viridiplantae; Streptophyta; Magnoliopsida; Poales; Poaceae. The record is from RNAcentral.